Molecule: long non-coding RNA, 408 nt
Filed under: Selaginella moellendorffii
Lineage: Eukaryota; Viridiplantae; Streptophyta; Lycopodiopsida; Selaginellales; Selaginellaceae
Description: long non-coding RNA (SMOE_LNC000006)
Source: RNAcentral
UUCUUAUUUGUCAUUCUCGGCUGACUGGAGGAUUCUCAUAGCACUCGGACCUCUUCUCAACAGGAUGCGAAGAGGAAAUUCUCAAUUCUUAUUCUCGUGGUAAAGGUAGUCUUGUGUAGAGACUUUCCAAGACAUGAUGAGGAAAUAGAGCGCUUCUCUUCCCUGAAAGCCCCAGGACCUUUUUUGAGCAGGAGAUCCGAUACCCGUGAGUUGCAUUCUCCAUUUGAGCAGGCAUGGACGAUCGAGGGGAGGGGAAGAGAACGAGAGCUAGAUCCCGCCCGAAUUCUGCUGCACAAGAAAGAAGAUUGUGGUGAAGCGAUGGAAGUGGUCUCACAAACCUGUUUAUGCCAUCUUCAGUCGCCGCAGGUACCAGUGAACAAACGACCCCAUCCCAGUCUCAAAAGGUAC